RNAcentral lists this ribosomal RNA (979 nucleotides) under Lacticaseibacillus casei. RNAcentral's name for it is "bacterial SSU rRNA". It matches the Rfam family "Bacterial small subunit ribosomal RNA", at positions 268 to 1241 of the family's 1533-position model. The record is from RNAcentral. Lineage: Bacteria; Bacillati; Bacillota; Bacilli; Lactobacillales; Lactobacillaceae.
CCAAGGCGAUGAUACGUAGCCGAACUGAGAGGUUGAUCGGCCACAUUGGGACUGAGACACGGCCCAAACUCCUACGGGAGGCAGCAGUAGGGAAUCUUCCACAAUGGACGCAAGUCUGAUGGAGCAACGCCGCGUGAGUGAAGAAGGCUUUCGGGUCGUAAAACUCUGUUGUUGGAGAAGAAUGGUCGGCAGAGUAACUGUUGUCGGCGUGACGGUAUCCAACCAGAAAGCCACGGCUAACUACGUGCCAGCAGCCGCGGUAAUACGUAGGUGGCAAGCGUUAUCCGGAUUUAUUGGGCGUAAAGCGAGCGCAGGCGGUUUUUUAAGUCUGAUGUGAAAGCCCUCGGCUUAACCGAGGAAGCGCAUCGGAAACUGGGAAACUUGAGUGCAGAAGAGGACAGUGGAACUCCAUGUGUAGCGGUGAAAUGCGUAGAUAUAUGGAAGAACACCAGUGGCGAAGGCGGCUGUCUGGUCUGUAACUGACGCUAGGCUCGAAAGCAUGGGUAGCGAACAGGAUUAGAUACCCUGGUAGUCCAUGCCGUAAACGAUGAAUGCUAGGUGUUGGAGGGUUUCCGCCCUUCAGUGCCGCAGCUAACGCAUUAAGCAUUCCGCCUGGGGAGUACGACCGCAAGGUUGAAACUCAAAGGAAUUGACGGGGGCCCGCACAAGCGGUGGAGCAUGUGGUUUAAUUCGAAGCAACGCGAAGAACCUUACCAGGUCUUGACAUCUUUUGAUCACCUGAGAGAUCAGGUUUCCCCUUCGGGGGCAAAAUGACAGGUGGUGCAUGGUUGUCGUCAGCUCGUGUCGUGAGAUGUUGGGUUAAGUCCCGCAACGAGCGCAACCCUUAUGACUAGUUGCCAGCAUUGAGUUGGGCACUCUAGUAAGACUGCCGGUGACAAACCGGAGGAAGGUGGGGAUGACGUCAAAUCAUCAUGCCCCUUAUGACCUGGGCUACACACGUGCUACAAUGGAUGGUACA